RNAcentral lists this long non-coding RNA (794 nucleotides) under Cricetulus griseus (Chinese hamster). RNAcentral describes it as "lncRNA (ENSCGRG00015036598.1)". Lineage: Eukaryota; Metazoa; Chordata; Mammalia; Rodentia; Cricetidae. The record is from RNAcentral.
CCCGGCCCCGCCCGCCCGUCCGCCCGGGCCCGCGCCGCUGCUUACCGCCGCUCCAGCUCCGAGGGCUCCGCGCCCAACCCGGGAGGCCCGCAAGGUUAGACGAAAGGUUGCUGUUGCUUUGAAUUCCAUGCCUUACUCUGCUACAGAAACAUAUCCAAAACACCCUCUGAGAAAUGUCAGAGUGUCAGAGAAGCUCAGUGGAAAAAAGCCAACACAGGAAGAGAGAGAGAGAGCAAGAAAAAAAAAGAGAACGCCUUGGUCUAUUUACUGUCUCCUGGGACUACAGUUUGGUUUCAGUUCCUUUGACUCAACAUGAACAGCUUCUCCACCUGACAACUGCAUGAAAGCUUCAAGCACAGCCAUAACCAAGGCCUCCCCAAGUGCACCUUGGGACACAACUGCUUCUAUUUUGCAUGUUUGAUUUGUAUAUGCAUCUCAGAAUUGGUGAAAUAUUGGACUUAGUCAUCAUUUACCUAUAGAACAUGGAUUAUGUGCUAUGUAAUUUACUGGAAACUGAGGCAUAGCAUAAAUAACAGUCUAGUAAGAAGAACAUACAGGAAAGAACAGAAUUUUAAAAACAAUUUAAAACUGGCCUUGGUGGCCCAUUCUUUAAUCUUAACCCUCAUGAAGCUGAGACAUGUGGAUCUCUGUGAAUUUGAACCCAAUCUGGUCUACAUAGUGAGUUCCAGGUCUGCCAGGGCUGCAUAGGGAGAUUCUGUCUGAAAUGCAAAAUUACAACAAAAAAUAAAACUUUAUGUGCUAUAAAAGAAUAAUAAAAAGGGUGGGAAGGAGGG